Molecule: ribosomal RNA, 403 nt
Filed under: uncultured bacterium
Lineage: Bacteria
Description: bacterial SSU rRNA
Rfam family: Bacterial small subunit ribosomal RNA
Source: RNAcentral
AGCGAACGUUAGCGGCGCGCUUAACACAUGCAAGUCGCACGAGAAAGGGCUUCGGCCCCAGUAAAGUGGCGCACGGGUGCGUAACACGUAGGCAAUCUUCCCUUGAGCGGGGGAUAACGUUUCGAAAGAGACGCUAAUACCGCAUAAGACCACGACCGGUUCGCCGGUUGCGGUCAAAGCUGGCCUCUUCAUGAAAGCUAGCACUUAAGGACGAGCCUGCGGCCCAUCAUGCUAGUUGGUAGGGUAACGGCCUACCAAGGCGAAGACGGGUAGCUGGUCUGAGAGGAUGAUCAGCCACACUGGAACUGAAACACGGUCCAGACUCCUACGGGAGGCAGCAGUGGGGAAUAUUGGACAAUGGGCGAAAGCCUGAUCCAGCGACGCCGCGUGAGUGAUGAAGGCC